AGCAUCCUGCGAUGCCCGUCAGUCUCACUUUGUUUCGAACCGUACCAUGACACGAGGGAAUCCUAUAUCAGGUUGCCUAUGGCAGGCCUGCACGUCAGGACGUCAGAAGCAGCCUUGCGGAUACCCACCUGCGAGAGCGGGUUCGUGAAACAACUGAGACGACGGCAUGGUGGGAAGUAC
RNAcentral lists this non-coding RNA (180 nucleotides) under Bacillus thermozeamaize. RNAcentral describes it as "6S RNA". It matches the Rfam family "6S / SsrS RNA". From Rfam's summary of the family: E. coli 6S RNA was the first non coding RNA to be sequenced, but its function was unknown until recently. It consists of 184 nucleotides that fold into an extended hairpin structure with a large single-stranded internal bulge. Lineage: Bacteria; Bacillati; Bacillota; Bacilli; Caryophanales; Bacillaceae. The record is from RNAcentral.